UAGUAACUGCGAGUGAAGCGGGAAGAGCUCAAAUUUUGAAUCUGGCGGUCCUCGUGGUCGUCCGAGUUGUAAUCUAGAGAAGCGUUUUCCGCGCUGGACCGUGUACAAGUCUCCUGGAACGGAGCGUCAUAGAGGGUGAGAAUCCCGUCUCUGACACGGACUACCAGGGCUUUUGUGAUGCGCUCUCGACGAGUCGAGUUGUUUGGGAAUGCAGCUCAAAUUGGGUGGUAAAUUCCAUCUAAAGCUAAAUACAGGCGAGAGACCGAUAGCGAACAAGUACCGUGAGGGAAAGAUGAAAAGAACUUUGGAAAGAGAGUUAAACAGUACGUGAAAUUGCUGAAAGGGAAACGCUUGAAGUCAGUCGCGUUGGCCGGGGAUCASCCUUGCAAUCUUGUUGGGUGCAUUUCCUGGUUGACGGGUCAGCAUCAAUUUUGACCGUCGGAGAAGGGUUGAGGGAAUGUGGCAUCCUUCGGGGUGUGUUAUAGCCUUUGAUCGCAUGCGACGGUUGGGAUUGAGGAACUCAGCAUGACCCCUCGUGGGUUUGGGGCUUCGGCUCACAUCCAUGCUUAGGAUGCUGGCAUAAUGGCUUUAAGCGACCCGUCUUGAAACACGGACCAAGGAGUYUAACAUGCCCGCGAGUGUUUGGGUGCUUAAAACCCGAGCGCGUAAUGAAAGUGAAAGUUGAGACCUCUGUCGUGGAGGGCAUCGACGCCCGGACCAGAACUUUUGUGACGGCCCUGCGGUAGAGCGUGUAUGUUGGGACCCGAAAGAUGGUGAACUAUGCCUGAAUAGGGUGAAGCCAGAGGAAACUCUGG
RNAcentral lists this ribosomal RNA (815 nucleotides) under Serpula himantioides. Its description in RNAcentral is "LSU rRNA". It matches the Rfam family "Eukaryotic large subunit ribosomal RNA", at positions 81 to 867 of the family's 3401-position model. The record is from RNAcentral. Lineage: Eukaryota; Fungi; Basidiomycota; Agaricomycetes; Boletales; Serpulaceae.